UGGUUCUGGCAUNGAUGAAGAACGCAGCGAAAUGCGAUAAGUAAUGUGAAUUGCAGAAUUCAGUGAAUCAUCGAAUCUUUGAACGCACAUUGCGCCCCUUGGUAUUCCGGGGGGCAUGCCUGUUCGAGCGUCAUUUCAACCCUCAAGCACAGCUUGGUCUUGGGCUCUGCCGACAGCGGCUGGCCUUAAAAUCAGUGGCGGUGCUAUCGAGCUCUACGCGUAGUAGCUAAAAUCCUCGCGUGUGAGACCCGGUGGAUGCUUGCCAGCAACCCCUUCUUUCUAUGGUUGACCUCGGAUCAGGUAGGGAUACCCGCUGA
This 317-nucleotide unclassified non-coding RNA is filed under the name uncultured fungus. Its description in RNAcentral is "partial contains 5.8S ribosomal RNA and internal transcribed spacer 2". The stretch from base 1 to 133 matches the Rfam family "5.8S ribosomal RNA", at positions 22 to 154 of the family's 154-position model. The record is from RNAcentral. Lineage: Eukaryota; Fungi.